GAAUAUUGGUCAAUGGAGGAAACUCUGAACCAGCCAUCCCGCGUGUAGGAAGAAGGCCCCCUGGGUUGUAAACUACUUUUAUCUGGGAAGAAAAGCCGUCAUUUAUGAUGGUCUGACGGUACCAGAGGAAUAAGCACCGGCUAACUCCGUGCCAGCAGCCGCGGUAAGACGGAGGGUGCAAGCGUUAUCCGGAAUUACUGGGUUUAAAGGGUGCGUAGGCGGCGCUGUAAGUCAGGGGUGAAAGGUUCCGGCUCAACCGGAGAAUUGCCUUUGAUACUGCAGUGCUAGGAUUGGGUUGAGGUUGGCGGAAUGUGACAUGUAGCGGUGAAAUGCAUAGAUAUGUCAUAGAACACCGAUUGCGAAGGCAGCCAACUGGACCUUGAUUGACGCUGAGGCACGAAAGCGUGGGGAGCAAACAGG
RNAcentral lists this ribosomal RNA (420 nucleotides) under uncultured bacterium. RNAcentral describes it as "bacterial SSU rRNA". It matches the Rfam family "Bacterial small subunit ribosomal RNA", at positions 359 to 776 of the family's 1533-position model. The record is from RNAcentral.